GAUGAAGAACGCAGCGAAAUGCGAUACGUAAUGUGAAUUGCAGAAUUCAGUGAAUCAUCGAAUCUUUGAACGCAUAUUGCGGUCUUUGGUAUUCCGAAGAGCAUGCUUGUUUGAGUAUCAGUAAACACCUCAACCUCUUCUUGAUUUUUCAAAAGGAGGGUGGACUUGAGCUAUCCCAACAACCUUUACCGGUCGGCGGGCGGCUUGAAAUGCAGGUGCAGCUGGACUUUUAUCUGAGCUAAAAGCAUAUCUAUUUAGUCCUCGUCAAACAGGAUUAUUACUUUUGCUGCAGCUAACAUAAAGGAUAAUUGUCCUCUUUGCUGACUGAUGCAGGAUUUUACGACACUUUAUGUGUUGUUCAACUCGAUCUCAAAUCAAGUAAGACUACCCGCUGAACUUAAGCAUAUCAAUAAGCGGAGGA
This 421-nucleotide unclassified non-coding RNA is filed under the name soil metagenome. Its description in RNAcentral is "partial contains 5.8S ribosomal RNA, internal transcribed spacer 2, and large subunit ribosomal RNA". The stretch from base 1 to 120 matches the Rfam family "5.8S ribosomal RNA", at positions 35 to 154 of the family's 154-position model. The record is from RNAcentral.